Long non-coding RNA from Odocoileus virginianus texanus, 1221 nucleotides. RefSeq lists it as uncharacterized. The record is from RefSeq and is a predicted model, not a curated record. Lineage: Eukaryota; Metazoa; Chordata; Mammalia; Artiodactyla; Cervidae.
UUCCGGUUCCAGGCGGUCGGAGCGUGGGGGCUGAGGUCGCGGGCUUGGUGGUUCUCCUUGUCUGGGGACGAAGUCGCUGCAGGAUUAUUUUAUGCAAACUGUUCUCUGGAAUGCAUCUUAGAAAUCUCCAAGCCUUUGAUGCAGAACUGUAUCAGUAAUCUAAUUAUUGAACCGUAACCAAGCUCACAGUAUCUCUGAGGGGUCUACCUCUGAAGAAAUGUAUAAGAAUAAAAAUUUAUCUCCACAGAACCCCAGAGAGAUGAUGACUUAGUAAUAGCAAAUAAAGAGGAGGACAAAAUUGAAAAUUAGAAUAUAAAAUGAAGUAUGCACAGUAGUCAAAAGGCUAUCUACCCACCCUCAUUCACCACCUCAAUGGAAAGGAUGUGGCAAUGUUGUGGAUUACACUAAGCAAGAGAUGGAAGAUUUCUUCCGUGUAAAACUGAACAGAGAAGUCUUGGGAUUCAUUGGGGAAGGAGAGGUUAAAAAGUAACAUUUAAUUGAAAGCUCCUGGAUCUCUACAGUUUUCCCCUCCCUUCUGCAGAGAUGGACUGAGGUGUGGUCUAGGGGUGGGCAGUACCACUGUUGGUGCUAGCUCGGUCAGCACCUCAAAAGCAGCCCAGAUCUCUGAUGUCAGCACAGCCACUUCAACAGUCAGGAAACUAAACCCCAAGAAAAGCUUCUGCAAAUACUGGAGACCUUGGCAUCUACCUUGACUACUGCAUCAUAAUCUUAAGAACUGAAUGUGUGUCCCCCAAAUUUCAUAUGUUGAAGCCCUGUUCCCCUAAUGUAACAGUAUUUAGAGAUGGGCCUUUGAAAGACACUAAGGUUUAGAUGAGAUCAUGAGGGUGGGGCCCCAUAAUGGGCUUAGAAUCCUUUUAAGAAGAAGAGAGACAAGAGCUCAUUCUCUGUCCUGUGAGGGAGAAAGCUGCUGUCUGCAAGCCAGGAAGAGGGCCCUUCCCAGGAAUAAAAUCUGUUGACACCCUGAUCUUGGACUUCUCAGCUUCUAGAACUGUUGGAAAAAAUUUUCUAUUGUUAAAGCCUCCCAAACUAUGGAAUUCUGUUACAGCAGACAGGCUGAGUAAAACUGAUGUUAAGAACAAAGCUAAACUGCAGGAUCCAUCAGAAGGAAAAGAUGAGAUUGGUGCAGAUGUAAUUGCAGCUUUUGCAUUGUUGAAAUUUGGCAUUUGAUAUUAGAAUACAUUCUUAAAUGUAGUUAUACCU